Long non-coding RNA from Triticum urartu, 1241 nucleotides. RefSeq lists it as uncharacterized. NCBI's taxonomy places the organism in Eukaryota, Viridiplantae, Streptophyta, Magnoliopsida, Poales, Poaceae. The record is from RefSeq and is a predicted model, not a curated record.
CAUCUCUCCUCCCUCUUUCAACCACGACACAGGCGGCGCCGCCACCAUACUCGUGGGGCAGUCAGAGGAGGAACUAAUCCAACCGAGGCGCCACGAGGGGAUAGGCGAGCAGACCCAUCCCUCCCGAGUCAUCCUACCGACCUCAACCUUGGGCGGAUCCUAGGUCCGCAACCACCACCGGAUCGCAGGUCCUCCACGCCAAUGGAAAUCCUUGUCCAAUCGCUGGCUGUUGUUCGUCUCGCCAACGGGGAAGAAAGGAAGUUGUUACUUGCACAUGCUGGUCGACUGUCAGUUUAGGGGUGGACACCAACUACAAGCAGUCGUAUCGAUUUCUUAUUCAAGACAUGGAACAACCGGUAGACUCUGCUCAAUUCUUUUCUGCACUAAUGCGAGGAUGAUGAUGAGUUCUGCAUGAAACAAAGUUUAAUUGGUGUUCAGCACAAUUCUGGUCAAAUGAUUCCGGCGAAUAUUUUGGCUGGUUCUCAUAUUUUGGUUCAAGGAAUUUUUCAAUCUACAACGGCUGCUAGCCAGUGGUUGAAAGAUUGUCUACCAAAUAUGUGUACUGCAAUGAUUAUCUUCAUUCAGAGGUUCAGAUAGAUGGAGCCUGACACUCUCCACCCUCAAGAACCACUUCGGUGCCGCCACACCCGGCAGCGACAAGUUCGGUGGCCUCUUCUCCGCCGACACCGUCGACCAACUCGCCCUCAGAGUUCCCCACAUUCAACGCAUGUUUUCCCGGUGGCAGUUUGAUGAAUUCCAGAAGGCGGCCAAGGAGAUGGUGAACCACAAGAAGGAGACGACCACGCUCUCCUUCAUCUUCGACAAUGGCGUCAUCGUCGCGGCCGAUUCCUAGGCCAGCUUGUGCGGGUACAUAUGUAAUCCUGCACCUCUUUUUCAUGGCAUCAUACAAGUCUCUUGUAUUACAAUAUUUGCACUAUACACAUCCUGACGGUUUAGUGGAAUGCUUUCUUCAAAUUCUCUGGCAAGGUGCUUCACACAUAGAUAGAAUGCUUAUUAUUAGGUGGUGGUUCAGUUGGUUUAAAGGUGAAUGGUGUAUAAGAAGCUCACUUGUUGGUUGGUACAUAGUAAUUUUAUUUCUUCCAGUAAGAGAUCUUUGACAACUGUCAAAUUCUGUUUGGUACUUGCACAUGUAAGAGGCAAUGGCAGCAAUGUUUCUUGUAUUAUAGUAUUUGCACUAUACCCAUCCUGUAUAAACUGUUUUAAUGGGAAUGCAUUCUUCA